RNAcentral lists this transfer RNA (73 nucleotides) under Lachnospiraceae bacterium KHCPX20. It matches the Rfam family "tRNA". From Rfam's summary of the family: Transfer RNA (tRNA) molecules are approximately 80 nucleotides in length. Their secondary structure includes four short double-helical elements and three loops (D, anti-codon, and T loops). The record is from Rfam by way of RNAcentral. Lineage: Bacteria; Bacillati; Bacillota; Clostridia; Lachnospirales; Lachnospiraceae.
GUACCUAUAGCUCAGUUGGUAGAGCACACGACUUUUAAUCGUGUUGUCAUGGGUUCAAAUCCCAUUAGGUACA